This 208-nucleotide long non-coding RNA is filed under the name Homo sapiens (human). RNAcentral describes it as "HSALNT0382080". The record is from RNAcentral. Lineage: Eukaryota; Metazoa; Chordata; Mammalia; Primates; Hominidae.
GAAGCUUCCAAUCAUGACUGAAGAUGAAGGGGAGCCAGCGCAUCAUGUGAUGAGAAAGAGAGGGCCUUGGGCUUCUAACUCCCACCGUCUACCGGGACCUGAGCAGCACCAACCACAAGAGGGCAGACAGACAGACCACCCACAGGCUACCUCCGGGCCUCCUCUGGAUGACCAACUCCUUUAUGCCCAGGCCUGUGUCAAGCACUGG